Molecule: long non-coding RNA, 1857 nt
Organism: Hevea brasiliensis (rubber tree)
Lineage: Eukaryota; Viridiplantae; Streptophyta; Magnoliopsida; Malpighiales; Euphorbiaceae
Exons: 4
Source: RefSeq, a predicted model, not a curated record
UUGGAAAUUAUAUAUUUAUGCAUGUUUUUGUAUUUUCUUGGGUUUUAAUUGAUAUUUGAUCUAUUUUUCUGUGUUCUUUUAAUUCAAGAAGUAUUAUGAAGUGUUUGGAUCAUGUUAAAAAACUUAGACCAUUAGGUAGUUGUAAUUAAUUAGAAAUCUUAACCCUUUAGGAGACUAGAAUUAGAAUCCAAUGCAAAUUGUUAUUAAUAUUUUCUUUAUUUCUUUUAUUUUCUUUAGUUUCUUUAUUUUUUAUUACAAACAAAAUUGAUAAGUAGCCCUAAGGUAAGUACCAAAGAGGGCAUUUUCGUGGAGCUUAUGUGGAGCUAAACAGGAGUAAGUCAGAGAUAUCAUUACCAUACUAGAAGAGAAUACCCUUUUUUAAGGGUAGCUUACCCCAAUGGCAACUGCAUUUACCAAUAAUGGAAAAGAAUACCGGGAAGGAAUCCGAGGUGUCGAGUCAAGGCCAAAAGGCGACUCAUAUAAGAUAUAGAGACUAGAGGAGCUGCAGAUUGAGCUGCUGAGGAUUGAGGAGCUACUUGCCUUGAAGCUAUCGGAUCAGAGCCGCUUGCGUGUCCUCUUGGGCGAUGGUGGGGCAAACCUCAGCGAAGACGUUGAGUCCCAAAAGGGGGGAAAAAGGUCCCUUAGGCAAAUCCCAUAUCGGCAAAGCACAGAGAUGGUCUUGGGUUCAAAAAGUAAUGAUAUAUAAAAUGGGGGAACUAAUCACUAAAGGCGCCUUUUGGUGGAAUGACCUGGAAAGUUGGAAGAACUCUAGGGUUAAGCGUGCUCGCUUGAAAGAAAUCCUAGGAUGGGUGACCUCCUGGGAAGUUCUUCAUUCCACCUAUGGGACAAAACCGUGAGGCUUAUGGCCAAAGUGGACAAUUCCUCUAGUGGUUGGAGUCCGAUCGUUACAUAGUGAGGCUUAACACUAAGUAUAUAAAUAAAGCACAAGGAAAGGAAUCAAAGCACAAAUGCUCAUUUUCAUUAAAUAAAAUCAAAGGAAUACCAUGAGUUAAAAUAGAGUGUUACAUUCCAACUCUAAAAUUUAUUCACUCAUGUUUAUAUUUACAAUGAAAGUCAUAAAUGAUACUACAACUCCCAAAAAUUGAACUUAUAGGCAAUUAAUGAGUAACCGACUAACAGGUAGAUACCUGAGCAUUGUCCAAGUAAUGAUACUCUUCCAGUGUAUUCCUAGUUACUUGGAUCAAUCACUUGAGAAUAAGGAUCCUGAUAUACUCGCCAAGAUCUCAGUCCUAACAUCCCUAAAACUCCUAAGCAAUUUCGAGUCUAGGUCUUAUUAUGAUACUAACUCCUAAUUCUAAUAAAAAUCUAAACCAAAGCCUAUAAGAGCCAUUAGUGCACAUAUCUAACUCAGUUAAUCCCAUUUAUCCAUUGAUAAGUUCCUAAUAUUGACUUAAGCAUUGGAGUGUUGCCAACCAACCCACCUAGUAUUUUCUUGAAUUGCAUAUCCAAGAUCCAUGAUCCAAACCCACAGAAGAGGAGAAUAGCAUCACUGGCGUCGUCUAUGAGAGAGUUGCCUCAAAAUUUUCCUAUUUGAUGAACAAAUCUUAUGAUUGCUAUUUUUCACCAUUAUUUUCACCAUGGCUUCAUGUCCACCACUAGUUGAUGGAACCACUAAUGACGUCACUACUGCAAAUAACACACUAACACAACCCAUGUAGCCAUGAAUUUGAAAGAUUGUCAGAAGAAGAUUAUUACAACUCUUUCCACUAACCGUCUUAGAAUGGACUUUAAUUUAUACCGAAGAUUAAAGCUGUCGAGGAAGCCCCAUCGAGUUUAAUGAUUGCUACACUUGUGUCGACGACAGAGUCGGAGUUGACUGCAACUUUUGAGCAUAAG